CUUCUCGACUAAACAUGCAUGCACUGACUGCAUGCAUAUGGGUGCGGGGAGGGUGCAGCCCUCCUUUCAGCCCUCUCCCGGCUCGAGUGCGCAUGUGUAUGUAUACAUAUUAUGUGAAUACAUAUUUCUCGAGCUCUAUAUAUUGAUGUGCAUGAAAUAUUGAAAUACAGUUGAAAGACGCUAUGCCAUCAUUGUUACAAUGUGCAAAUAUUACUCAGUGAGCUCCAUAUAUAUCUGGAGCGAGACUCUAGUUCAAAAAGUGAGGCCAAGAUGGCGAAGUUGAAGAUGUAUUGGACGUCUGUUCCAUUCCCUAUCUAAUGUUUUUGUCUGGACGGUUGACACAAACCUUUUGAAUUUAUCAAUAGAGUUAAUUAUAAAACCACAAGCAUUAGGCAAGACUUCUUGUCAGUAUAAAUGUAAUGGCACUAAAACGGAGGCUGGUCGCGCGGGGGUGGGGAGAUUCCACUAUUUUCCAAAAAAUAGUUUUUAAAACUCUUUUAAAAAAACUUUUAAAAGAGUUUUAAAAAGCAAAAAAGUUUAAAAAGUUAGAUUUUCAAAAUUUAAAAAAGUUAGGGUUAGGGGUUAGUUGAUAGUUGUUAGGGGUUAGUGGUUAGGGGAUAGUGGUUAGGGGUUAGUGGUUAGGGUUGGGGUUAGUGUUAGGUGCCGCGAAUUUAUUAUUAUGAUAAAUUCAAAAUGUGCCGCGAAUUUAUCAUAAUGAUAAAUUCGGACGUGUUUAAGAAUUUACUCAUAUAGUUAAUUCAAAGGUGGAGCUCAUGCUGUAACGAUGAUAACGAUGCUGGAAUUUGCUGGGGAAAUGGUAUUAAAACUGUUUAUGACCUUCAUAGCUAUUGGACGUCAAUUCCGCCAUCUUGGUUUCACUUUUCUCAUACGCCGAAUGCAUAUAUGACUGAAUAUAUAUAUAUAGAGAGAGAGAGUGCAUUGAUACUACUACAGUAUAUAGUACUGCAUGUGCAAUAAUAGUCCUGGGUUAUUACGAAAGUUACUUUUUUGUUAUGAGUAUACAAAGAUUCUUCUUUCCGCGGUUUAUGUGUUGUUCAAAACAGUCCAUGGAAUUCUUUGUUCUUGUGAAGUUCCUUCACUGAUACACAAGUCUUGAUCAGGCAAUAGUCUCCUUUGCUUUUACAUUUCCUUUCGAAACAUUGCUGUUGUUUGCGCAACCGGCGCAAUGCUUUCUUAAUUUUUGCCUAUGGAAGAAGAAGAUCGUAUUCAUAUGUAGGGCUUCGGUAGCGCAGUUGUCAGAGAAAACACAUUUCACCUAUGAUUCACAUUUGAGAUCGUGGGUUCGAUUCUAGCGUUGCCCACUCAUGUGAAAAGAGUCAGUCAACGCUAUGCCGAAAGUCGUAGGUUUUCUUUGGGUUCCCCGGUGUUCUGCCGCAGGGAAAGUUGCCUGGAAGGGUUAGGAUAAAUACAGUUAAG
Molecule: non-coding RNA, 1437 nt
Organism: Paramuricea clavata
Lineage: Eukaryota; Metazoa; Cnidaria; Anthozoa; Malacalcyonacea; Plexauridae
Source: the annotation of a GenBank genome assembly